GCCAGCAGCCGUAUCACCCUGCAGCUCUCAGCUGCCUACCCACUGAAGGUAAGCAGGGUUGAACCUGCUCCGUACCUGGAUGGGAGACCUCCUGGGAAGCUAUGGUUGCUGCUGGAA
Molecule: ribosomal RNA, 117 nt
Filed under: Lepisosteus oculatus (spotted gar)
Lineage: Eukaryota; Metazoa; Chordata; Actinopteri; Semionotiformes; Lepisosteidae
Source: RNAcentral